UACGGGAGGUGCAAGCGUUGUUCGGAAUUACUGGGCGUAAAGCGCGCGCAGGCGGCUCUUCAAGUCAGGGGUGAAAGCCCAGAGCUCAACUCUGGAACUGCCUUUGAGACUGUAGAGCUUGAGUACGGGAGAGGUGAGUGGAAUUCCCAGUGUAGAGGUGAAAUUCGUAGAUAUUGGGAAGAACACCGGUGGCGAAGGCGGCUCACUGGCCCGUUACUGACGCUCAGGCGCGACAGCGUGGGGAUCAAACAGG
Molecule: ribosomal RNA, 253 nt
Filed under: uncultured bacterium
Lineage: Bacteria
Description: partial 16S ribosomal RNA
Rfam family: Bacterial small subunit ribosomal RNA
Source: RNAcentral